Small nuclear RNA from Zalophus californianus (California sea lion), 107 nucleotides. NCBI's taxonomy places the organism in Eukaryota, Metazoa, Chordata, Mammalia, Carnivora, Otariidae. The record is from Ensembl.
GAGCUCGCUUGGGCAGCACACACAGUAAAAUUGGAACUAUGCAGAGAAGACUGGUAUGGCCCCUGUGCAUGGAUGACACCCAACUUCAUGAGGCAUUCCAUAAUUUU